This is a long non-coding RNA of Alosa sapidissima (American shad), 371 nucleotides long. RefSeq lists it as uncharacterized. The transcript is spliced from 3 exons. Lineage: Eukaryota; Metazoa; Chordata; Actinopteri; Clupeiformes; Clupeidae. The record is from RefSeq and is a predicted model, not a curated record.
AGAAGGGGGAGCGCCAGAAGACUUGAGGGCUAGCUGUUGUAACGCCAGUGAAAAUGGAAACUUCGAUUAUAGCCUCACAGAACAGAGAAGAGCAACGCUGAAGGGCAUGGGACUGAACCAUGGAGGAACCCAAAGAGUGCAUAACUGCAGUUUUGCAGUCAUUUGUCAUACUCUCAUCAGGGUCUCAGAUUUCCACAUCUGACGAAGCACUGUGCACUUCUAGAAAGACAGAGCACUGACCCCCACCAUGACAGAGUGAUAUAUGUUUGGUGCCAUGAAAAAAGAUAACCGUAUCUUCCCAGCAAUUUCUACAUGUUCCACCCACCAGCAUGCUGGCACUCUGCAUGACGUCCUGGUGGCUUCAUGGAAUU